GAGGAACUGAAAUAUUGUAGUACUCUUGCUGGAAAUAAAAUAUAACGAGUAAACGUUACUAUCACAUUAAGGAGACAUGUAGGCUGGAGUAAAAACUUCUGUACUUCAUAAUUAGGAUUAAAAAAUGCUUACAAACUCAGGGAUGUUUAAGUAGGUGCACUGGCAUUUAUUUUUCAGGAUACAACUGAAGAGCAGGGGUAUGUUACAAGUUUUCUUGUGCUGUGGCAUGCAUACAUGGAAGGUCUUUCUUCAUGUUGAGGAAGAACCACUUUUUAUGAUUUGAACUUUUCAAAUAGGUUUGUUGGUUUCCCUCCCAUAUUAGUUUCUGUUUUUGAUGGAUGAACAAGUCAAAAACUGUUCCAAUAGAAGUAACAUGAGAAGAAAUUCUGAACUGGAAUGGUGAGGGAUGGAUCAGAGUCGAAGGUUUAAGUCAAGCUUGAGCGAUUCUGAUGGUGGCUCUGGUGGUUGUGGAUCCAAGCGAAAGCUCCCUGGCCACAUUAAAUCCAUUGCAUCCUCAAGCAUAAAGGGCAUCCAUGCCAUUCCAAACCCUGUAUUGGUUUCGUUAAAUCUUGCUGCAACAGUAGUUCCUUCUCUACUUUGCUUGUGCACAAGCGCAUGGGGCCUGACCCCCAGUGAUCUGCUCAUUGGGGUAUUUAAUGGAAAACCCAUCAUCGUCAUCAUCCUCUGGGACUGGAAUCUUCUAGCUGCACCUCUUUCUCUCUUGUGAGCAUUCUGAUGACCCCCUAGAGCCUGUGAGCUGUAGAACUUCCUCCUGCAAAAGUUACAUGAGAAAACCUUGCUAGAAGUAGGUCUUGAGUGUGGAUCAUAGUCUCCUGCUGUUGAGACUGAAUUGCCACCUAAGCUCAGAUUCAACCACUCUCCUCCUAGAUUACAAUCUUCAAUUCUUUCAUUGCUAUUAUUGCUGAUUCUUAAUUCAUCCUGGUGUUUGUCGGUUGCUGUUUCAAUGGCUUCAUCCCUGACCAUCAUAUCUCCACGAAUCUCAAACAUUUUUUUUGGUGUAUGUAGACGAAAGUUGAAUAGGUAGAAAAGGUGGAAUUGUUGUGAGAGACUCUCUGAAGGGUUAGAUGAAAGUGGAAGACAGGAAAUAAAUGGGGAUAGAUAUGAUAAUGGAAAGAAAGUUAGACAUGAUUUUUUUUGUUUUUUUUUAUCAGGUUUCAAUUCAGCGACCCCACUGGGCGAUGCUUGGUGUUCCUGGAGCUGAUGCUUAUGUCAUCGUUACUGUUGCACUCGUCAAGCUUAGGAUUCCCCACUUUCAUCUUUCUCCUUUUUUCUUUCCUCUUCUCAAAUCAAAUCAACUUUGCAUGGUUCUCUUUUGGAGUAAUUCAAGGUUGACAAUCUAGCAGGUGACAUUGAUGGUCAAAAUCAUAAUCCUGCAAUUAGCCAAUAUCUGCCUGUCAUUUAGUGUGUUCUUAUCCUCUACUGAAACAAAUCUAAUGCUAAUCUUUUAUGUCUUCAGUGUGCUGGCUAUAAGAUACUCUACUUUUUAGCUGAUUGAUAGAUACACACAUACAGAUAGAUAUACUGGCUAUAAGAUACUCUGCUCUUUAGCUGAUUGAUAGAUAC
RNAcentral lists this unclassified non-coding RNA (1584 nucleotides) under Hevea brasiliensis (rubber tree). Lineage: Eukaryota; Viridiplantae; Streptophyta; Magnoliopsida; Malpighiales; Euphorbiaceae. The record is from RNAcentral.